Molecule: long non-coding RNA, 627 nt
Filed under: Oryza sativa aromatic subgroup
Lineage: Eukaryota; Viridiplantae; Streptophyta; Magnoliopsida; Poales; Poaceae
Description: lncRNA OsARC_03g0008300
Source: RNAcentral
CUCUCCCCAGCAUCGCCGCCGCCCGAGCCACCGUCGGCGAAGCCAGGCGGCUGCAAGGACGGCGGCGGCAGGGCUCCCUCUCCCUCGCUCGUGGUCAAACCGUACGGGACGCCGGCAAGAGAGGAGCUCAGGCUUGGUGCCGGCGACGAGGAGAAGCGCCCGGCAGCGGCCAAAUCCGGCGCUGUGGAGGCCGGAUCCGGUCCUCCAUGGCAGGAUCUGCUCGGCGGCGGGGUUGGAAGAUGGGUCGGGGGCGGCGGCGACCUGGAGUGCUCGGCGGCAGGGUUUGCUGCUAUCCUCGCCCUCCGCAGCCGCUGUCCUCGCCGGCCCCUCAACGCCCUCCUCGCCCUCAUUUCCCUCCGUUACCGCUUCCUUGCCGGCGGCUCUAGGCCGCAACCUUCAGUGCCUCUCCCCUUCUGGGGCUUCCUUCCCCUAAAGGGCGUUGGCGGGCACUGUUCUAGCUGCAACAAGAAAAUGUUUGGAUUCUUGAAGGCUUCAUGCGGGUGGUCUAGUACUUCCAUAGCCUUUUGGUCACCACUUUCCCCUACCGGCAUGCUCGUGGCACUCUGCCCUUUGGCGCGGCGUUCUGGAUUCCAAGGCCGCUUGAGGAUUUGUUUGUUGUUGAUCUAG